UAGCUACAAAAUAACUUAUUUUGUAGCCACUUUGAGUUACGAUAAUUACUAUAUUAAUUUACAAAAUUAUAGUAAUUCCUUACUAAAUGGUUUACUAUAAAAUUACGGUAAAUAUCUCCAUGAGUUAUAGUAACUCAACUAUCAUAAAUAUAUAUAUAUAUAUAUACUAUCGUAAAUUAGUAUAUAAAAUUAUCGUAAAUGGAGGUGGCUACAGAAUAACAUAUUUUGUAGCUA
This 234-nucleotide microRNA precursor is filed under the name Sorghum bicolor (sorghum). RNAcentral's name for it is "MIR6217 microRNA precursor family". It matches the Rfam family "MIR6217 microRNA precursor family". Lineage: Eukaryota; Viridiplantae; Streptophyta; Magnoliopsida; Poales; Poaceae. The record is from Rfam by way of RNAcentral.